Molecule: ribosomal RNA, 465 nt
Filed under: Vreelandella stevensii
Lineage: Bacteria; Pseudomonadati; Pseudomonadota; Gammaproteobacteria; Oceanospirillales; Halomonadaceae
Description: partial 16S ribosomal RNA
Rfam family: Bacterial small subunit ribosomal RNA
Source: RNAcentral
CCUACGGGUGGCAGCAGUGGGGAAUAUUGGACAAUGGGCGAAAGCCUGAUCCAGCCAUGCCGCGUGUGUGAAGAAGGCCUUCGGGUUGUAAAGCACUUUCAGUGGGGAAGAAAGCCUUGGGGCUAAUACCCUCGAGGAAGGACAUCACCCACAGAAGAAGCACCGGCUAACUCCGUGCCAGCAGCCGCGGUAAUACGGAGGGUGCGAGCGUUAAUCGGAAUUACUGGGCGUAAAGCGCGCGUAGGCGGUCUGAUAAGCCGGUUGUGAAAGCCCCGGGCUCAACCUGGGAACGGCAUCCGGAACUGUCAGGCUAGAGUGUAGCAGAGGAAGGUAGAAUUCCCGGUGUAGCGGUGAAAUGCGUAGAGAUCGGGAGGAAUACCAGUGGCGAAGGCGGCCUUCUGGACUGACACUGACGCUGAGGUGCGAAAGCGUGGGUAGCAAACAGGAUUAGAUACCCCGGUAGUC